AUACGAAGGUCCCGAGCGUUGCGCGGAAUUAUUGGGCUUAAAGCGUGCGUAGGCGGACUCGUAAGCACUUUGUGAAAUCCCUCGGCUCAACCGAGGAACUGCUUGGUGAACUGCGAGUCUUGAGACAAGUAGGGGCUGUCGGAACGAUAGGUGGAGCGGUGAAAUGCGUUGAUAUCUAUCGGAACGCCAAAGGCGAAGGCAGGCAGCUGGGCUUGUUCUGACGCUCAGGCACGAAAGCGUGGGGAGCGAACGGGAUUAGAAACCCCAGUAGUCC
RNAcentral lists this ribosomal RNA (274 nucleotides) under uncultured bacterium. Its description in RNAcentral is "partial 16S ribosomal RNA". It matches the Rfam family "Bacterial small subunit ribosomal RNA", at positions 523 to 796 of the family's 1533-position model. The record is from RNAcentral.